RNAcentral lists this ribosomal RNA (253 nucleotides) under uncultured bacterium. Its description in RNAcentral is "partial 16S ribosomal RNA". It matches the Rfam family "Bacterial small subunit ribosomal RNA", at positions 524 to 776 of the family's 1533-position model. The record is from RNAcentral.
AACGUAGGUGGCGAGCGUUAUCCGGAUUUACUGGGCGUAAAGGGUGUGCAGGCGGGCUGUUAAGUGGUGUAUGAAAUAUCCCGGCUCAACCGGGAGGGGUUAUGCCAGACUGGCAGUCUAGAGAGCGAGAGAGGGACGUGGAAUUCCGGGUGUAGUGGUGAAAUGCGUAGAGAUCCGGAGGAACCCCAGAGGCGAAGGCGGCGUCCUGGCUCGCAUCUGACGCUCAGACACGACAGCAUGGGGAGCGAACGGG